Labeo rohita (rohu) is the source of this 1550-nucleotide long non-coding RNA. RefSeq lists it as uncharacterized. The record is from RefSeq and is a predicted model, not a curated record. Lineage: Eukaryota; Metazoa; Chordata; Actinopteri; Cypriniformes; Cyprinidae. The transcript has 4 exons.
UGCUAUUCGUUUUUAUAACAGCAUACAUUUGAUCACGGGUUUCUUCAUCGCUGCCUAAUUUUGGCGAAAUGAAGGAAUGUCACAACUUUACUGACGGAGAAAAAAAGUUUUGGCUAAGAGGAAUGCACGCAGUUGUAAAUGUGAACUGGUGGAUGGUUAAGAAGCUGAUGUGUCUUCUAGAAAUCUAAACAAAUUUGUGCAGAAUAUGAGACAGGCAGAAUAACCAUAGGUCCAUUAGUGUCAACUGUCUUUGCCAAUGGGUGGAUCCACACUGCAAAACUUAUGAAGAUGAUUGCAAACCGAAGAAGAGUCCUUGGACAAAGCAUUAAACCCUCUUGGUCCCCACUACACAGACUAAUGACGUUGACGUACCCAAAUGAAGACACUAGCGGUGUUAUUAUGGAGUAUAUGGUAAGUUGUUUUAUUUAUUAAUUUAUUUAUUUAUUGGUAUUUUCAAGGAUGAUAAAUGCUAAGGUAAAUUUAAUAUGCAAGAAUUUGAGUACUCCAUUCUUUUAAAUAUCCUCUCUAGGAUACAGACGUUGGCAGCACUCAGGAGGUGAUCCAGAGGAAUCAUGGGAAUCUGUGUCAUACGAUUUGAAGGUACAGACAUUGAAGACAGCACAGCAGAUGUUGGAGUGUUGGAAGAUAAAGUUCUUCAGGACCUUAGCAGUAAACCCUAUGAAAAAACAUGUUGCUGGGACUGAUAUAUGGACUAAACCUGAACUCCUAAAAUCAGGUACACAUUUGGAGUACUGCAGAAUUUAUUUCUGGAGCCAGUUCCUGUUCCUGGAUUAAGGUUUGAUUGGUUACCUUUAUAUGCCAAUUAGAGAAUGACAUUAGUUUAAUAUUUCUGUAAUUUUGUAAUGUGGUUGUAACUGUAAUUGUUGCUCUUGUUUAACAAAUACACUUGAUAAUUUGUGACAUCUUGUCUUUUGUGAUUCAUUGCAAAAUAAUCACACAAAAAUGCUUUGUUGAAGGGAGUAACUUUAACUUGAAAUCAUUUAGUUAAAGUAACUAGAACCAAUUGGAUGGAACCACUGUCCAUAAUUUAAAUGAGUUGUCUGAAACAAACUUCCUUAUGUUGAUAAAGUGAAACCUAUUUGGCCAGUUUUAAUAAACCAAAACAUGUUCACUAAACUUAACCGGUUUAAGUUACAGGGAAGUGAAUAAAUUGAGUUGGUUGGACAUUACUAUUUCACAUAAAUUCUUCCUCAUUCAGCUGUGUUGUUACAACACAAAGAGUUUGCAUAGAUUCAAAAAAUUCCAUUCAUGUUCAUCAAAAACAAUUUGGUUGUGUGGAACCACUGUCCAUAAUUGAAUUAAGUAGGUUUAAAGAAUCAUUUUUUUGAGUGUAUGCGGCGUUCCCUCUCCUCCGAGCUGAUAUGAGUAACUCCCGGCUGCAUGGGUUCGUUCUCCAGCUGAGGUGCGCUGAUCGAGACAGAUGGAGUAAGUGAUUGACGAGGACGACGUGAUCGAAGGAGAUUGUCGACUCGAUAUCCAGAUCGAUUAAUUGUGCUAGGGAUCUCUCCUCAUCCCGGCAGGCGAGUUCA